This 1902-nucleotide long non-coding RNA is filed under the name Oryzias sinensis (Chinese medaka). Its description in RNAcentral is "lncRNA (ENSOSIG00000011606.1)". Lineage: Eukaryota; Metazoa; Chordata; Actinopteri; Beloniformes; Adrianichthyidae. The record is from RNAcentral.
UUUUCCCGUCUCCACACUCGUCUGCUGUUAAUCACUGGUCUGCCUGAGUACGCGGACGGCCGCUACACCGAGGAGGACGUGGCCCAACUGCUCUGCCCGUUCGGGUUCAAACUCUCCAGCCGAGGCCUCUACGUCCUUCCUCAGGCGUGUCUGGUAGGAGCCAGCCUCUCUUGAAGCUUUAAGGAGUUUGAAGCCGUCUGACCCUUUGUGGCCAUCCGUGGUCGUUUCCUUCCUCGCAGGCUUUCGCGGUCAUGCCGUGUACCGACAGCGUCAGGAGCAUCAUCACGUUUUCUAACAAGGAGGACUUGAUGCUCAAAGGUUCCCGCCUUGGUUUGCACGCGGUGAUCAGCAGAAUUUCAACCACACCUUUUGGGUUUUAUAAAUCCCUCAUGAAAAAGGUUCAUGUGGUGAGUACAUCAUCUUAGUCCUAAUUUUCUCUGAACGAAGCAGGAUUCUUCCAGCGUUUCACUCGUCUGCACAUUAUUGGUGUUUAUCUCUUCAAAAUAAUAAUAAAUCAGCCUAACAGAAUAAAUCUCUUUCUAUAAAUCCCAGUUUUCCAUUUGAUCUACAGGUGGAUAAAUUCUCUCCCUUUGUUUCCUGGGCAGAGAGUGAAAGACGACGGUUCGAGGACCGUUUUCGUCCAGAACAUCUCACCCGGCGAGGCCAGAGAGCUCAGGGAAACGCUGACGGCCAUCGGUUCCCUGAAGAACUUCCUGCCUCUGCUCAACAAGGUGUUGGUGGAGUUUGAAUCCAUGAGUGGCGCCGAUCGUCUGGGCGUCUGGUUCAGCCUCCUGAAUCCGUCUCCAGUUUACAGCAUCUACAGGAUGAAGAUCCCACAGAGCAGCAGGACGCCGGCCCCACCAGAACGGGCGGUGAACGCUUUGGCGGGACCAGUGGUCCCAGACGCAAGCGGAGACGUCCCACAUGGCAGUACGCCACCCUUUUGGGUCACCAUGACGACUAACCCCUUUAUUUUCCCAACCAACUGGCCUUGGUUCAUUAUUCCAGAUUACCUGACGGUGGAAGGGAUGAGGGACGUUGAGAACGCUCCGUCUCCCCGUUUCCCCUCCUCCACCGUCCUGAUGACGGGUUUGCCUCGAGGGAACUUCACGCACCAGGACGUCGCCAAGCUGGUUUGGCCCCAUCUCCCCCAACGGACCCUUCGCUCUUUACUCUACGACGUGACGGUCCUCCCCCUGCAGAGACGGGCUUUCGUGCAUUUCAACGACUGGGACUCGUGCUGCCGGUUUCUUCGGAGCCACACCUCGGAGCGGGUUUCCGUCAGAGGCUGCGUCCUCAGCGUUCACUUGGUCUUGGAGGACAUGCAGCCUGCAUAUAGUGAGGAGGUCAUGUACCAAACUCUAAUGAAGUGGAGCAGCUCCCCCGUUCCAGAGCUGGAGUCUCUGGAGGAGCGGCUGCUCUGCGUGGAGAUCUCGGAGGCGUCGGUGGGCAUCGUCAUGAUGGUCAUGGAGGCCGUGGCAGCAGUGGCGCCCUUUGAAGGUUUCCUGCCUCUGGCCAACAGGAUCUGCAUCGAAUUAUCUGAACCCACAGAUGUAACCAGAGUGGUGCAGAAAAUCUCAGCAAACAUUUCAUCCAGGACUCAUAUUUGGAACAAAGUAAAGAGCGUCUCCUGCUUGAACAUCUUUAAAGAGCGUUUGCAGAGUUUAUGGAGCGAGCCCAUUGAUAUGGAGCUGAACGCCAGCAGAACUGCAGAUCCAAAUGACUCUGCACCAGAAAAAGACAGCAGAGCUGUGCAGAUGGAGGAGCGAGCGGCAGGAAGCUCGGCUGAAGCUGAGGAUGAAGUCGGAAGAGUGGAGAUGAAGAAGACCGAAGAAGGUGAGGGGUUCUGAUGAAUGUGAAUCCUUAACUAAUUGAAUGGGAACGUGCUGUGGAUAAAAAAAA